RNAcentral lists this long non-coding RNA (429 nucleotides) under Dermacentor andersoni. RNAcentral describes it as "uncharacterized LOC126521889". The record is from RNAcentral. Lineage: Eukaryota; Metazoa; Arthropoda; Arachnida; Ixodida; Ixodidae.
UUUCGAGGAAAGGAAAGGUAAGCCUAUAGCCCAUAUGUUACCUAGCAAAGCCAUUUCCAAUCACUUCUCCGGAAAGCGUUGGUUCGGGGCAUACAUUAUUCCCCAUGCAAUUACACGUGCUUACGCCGAUUUACGCGAUGAAUAAACGGAUACGCGUAGAUCGGCUUUCGAGGAAAAAGAGGUAAGCCUAUAGCCCAUAUGUUACCUAGCAAAGCCAUUUCCAAUCACUUCUCCGGAAAGCGCUGGUUCGGGGCAUACAUUACUCCCCAUGAAAUUACACGUGCUUACGCCGAUUUACGCGAUGAAUAAACAGAUACGCGAAAAUCGGCUUUCGAGGAAAAAGAGGUAAGCCUAUAGCCCAUAUGUCACCUAGCAAAGCCAGUUCCAAUCACUUCUACGGAAAGCGCUGCUUCGGCGCAUGCAUUACUC